This 481-nucleotide ribosomal RNA is filed under the name uncultured bacterium. Its description in RNAcentral is "SSU rRNA". It matches the Rfam family "Bacterial small subunit ribosomal RNA", at positions 26 to 519 of the family's 1533-position model. The record is from RNAcentral.
AGGACGAACGCUGGCGGCGUGCCUAACACAUGCAAGUCGAACGCGCUCCAUUCGGUAGCAAUACUGAUGAAGAGUGAGUGGCGAACGGGUGAGUAACACAUGAGCAACCUGCCCCGAAGACUGGGACAACACCGGGAAACCGGUGCUAAUACCGGAUAUCCCUAUCGGACCGCAUGAUCUGAUAAGGAAAUGGAUUCCGCUUCGGGAGGGGCUCGUGGCCUAUCAGCUAGUUGGUGAGGUAACGGCUCACCAAGGCAUCGACGGGUAGCUGGUCUGAGAGGACGAUCAGCCACACUGGGACUGAGACACGGCCCAGACUCCUACGGGAGGCAACAGUGGGGAAUCUUGCACAAUGGGCGAAAGCCUGAUGCAGCAACGCCGCGUGAGGGACGAAGGCUUUCUGAGUUGUAAACCUCUUUCAGCAGGGACGAUUGUGACGGUACCUGCAGAAGAGCCCGGCAACUACGUGCCAGCAGCCGUA